RNAcentral lists this ribosomal RNA (460 nucleotides) under uncultured bacterium. Its description in RNAcentral is "partial 16S ribosomal RNA". It matches the Rfam family "Bacterial small subunit ribosomal RNA", at positions 338 to 795 of the family's 1533-position model. The record is from RNAcentral.
CCUACGGGAGGCAGCAGUGAGGAAUAUUGGUCAAUGGCCGUAAGGCUGAACCAGCCAAGUCGCGUGAAGGAAGAAGGAUCUAUGGUUUGUAAACUUCUUUUAUAGGGGAAUAAAGGUAUCCACGUGUGGAUAUUUGCAUGUACCCUAUGAAUAAGCAUCGGCUAACUCCGUGCCAGCAGCCGCGGUACUACGGAGGAUGCGAGCGUUAUCCGGAUUUAUUGGGUUUAAAGGGUGCGUAGGUUGUUUUUUAAGUCAGCGGUGAAAGUGUGUGGCUCAACCAUAACAUUGCCGUUGAAACUGGAAGACUUGAGUGUGUUUGAGGUAGGCGGAAUGCGUGGUGUAGCGGUGAAAUGCAUAGAUAUCACGCAGAACUCCGAUUGCGAAGGCAGCUUACUAAGCCAUAACUGACACUGAAGCACGAAAGCGCGGGGAUCGAACAGGAUUAGAUACCCCUGUAGUC